GGUCAGUGUUGGCGUUAAUGGAAGAGCGUCCGACGUUGAGCUCUUGAGCAACUUUGAGCUCAGAAACAACUUUGAUCUGCAGGAACCUCGACCCGCUGCUAAAUGUAAAACUAAAACAUCACUAAAUAAAUGUAUUGAUAAAAUUUAAAUUUAACUCGUUCUCAGCGGACCAAGGCAGCUCCUGACCACUUGUCUGCUUGACAGGGGAGUCAGUAGAAGAUAGAGAUAAAGCUGAAUUUCGGUUUUUAUCAUCAACAAAUGCAACGGCAGGGACUGACGAUCCUUCUACCUUUUCACGGCAUCCUUGAAGUUACAGAUAUGUAGAUUCGUGUUCUUACCAGCCUAUGAGAGAUCUUCGCGCCGUUUUGAUCGUGUUGCACUACUAGCCGCUCGAGUAUGGCCAUUAACGGUGGAUGCAUCGAUUGGGAAGUGAUCGAGCACGGUCGGGUAGCAAUUAUGACGAACAAGUAUCGCGUUGAUCGGGAAGCGGUCGGGUUUUACUCAGGUAGUGGUCGAGAUUUUAUCCAGACCAAACAAGAUCUUGACAAGAUCGUUUACCGGUUAACUUUACCUCUACUCGACCAAUACCCGAUCGCCAGACCCGUUCUCGAUCGCUCAAUCAGGCUUGGAGUUGAUUUGAUCGGCAGUGAAAACCUUGCUUGAGGUUUCAAAACUUAAAACAUUACAAUUUUUACAUAACUCAGUAAUACAGAAUAUAGAUGUAGUAUAAUGCUGUGCUGUUAAAGGGAGGCUAUUGUGAUACAUUUCUUUUUAAAUAUGACAGAAUACCUCCACUUGUACGCACCGCGAAAGACAAGAUUUUCAUGUCAUACAGUACUGUAAAUUAUUGUUUUGUAUUGUGUGAUGAUAUCACGAAGGCGAGAAAUAAUUAAAUGUAUAGUAUAGGCAUUUAACUAGAGCAUUUUAUUUUCAAGGGAAAUAAUUGUGGUCUGACUGUAUUAUUUUGAAAAUCACAGUUGAGAUUUUUUUAUGUGUGCACCGGUACAGUUUUGCGGGGAAGCGAAAGUUGACAUGGAAUUUUGUCUUCUUCUAAAAACAAGUGACUGAUACAUGUAGUUGCAGUCUGUCUUUGGAAGCCGUAGAAAUAACAAGAAAGAGGCUGACAUAGUGUUUUGGUAGGGAAAAGUUUGUGUAUGUACAUGUAUAGUUGUUUGACCUGUCUUACCCUGUGGCAGUCCAAGAAGAUGUUACCAUUAUGAAAAAUGCAGGAGAACUUGAAGACAAUUGUUAGUGCAGAAGGGACAUAAAAGUUAUGACAAAAUUAACAGAUAUAAAUAAGAAGUGCUACAAGUGUGUUGUCAUGUGAAAUGGAAUUUACCCCAACUGUGCUGCAAGAUGUAUAUUCAAGUGCAAGACAGCCAUGCACCAGCUGUAAACUGAGAUGGACCCGUAUAAUAAAAAUGUUGACGUUUCUAUGUAUUAUCAUCUGUACAGAAUGUGUUCAUGACAAGACUGUAUACAUAUAUUGAUAAAUCAUUUUUUUAUUUCCAUUAUUGCAUGCAUGUAAGAAGCAAGCAUUUAACAAUUGCAUUCAUAGAAGUGUUAAAAUGUGAUCAAUCUAAUUUAAAGAAACACAUUUAAUUGGACUUUUUAAGUUUCAUAGUAUUUGUGGUGGAGACUGACCCAGUCAUUCAGCAACUUAUAUUGUCUGUGUGUCAUUUCUUGUAUGUUAU
Mercenaria mercenaria is the source of this 1694-nucleotide long non-coding RNA. RefSeq lists it as uncharacterized. The transcript is spliced from 5 exons. The record is from RefSeq and is a predicted model, not a curated record. Lineage: Eukaryota; Metazoa; Mollusca; Bivalvia; Venerida; Veneridae.